UGGGAGGCGGUGCUUGGCACUACGACACGCCCCUGGGGGUGCUAAGCCCCGCCCCGAGGCCGCGUUGCGCGAGCUGAGGCGCUUUGUGCCGCAGCUCCCGGCUGGGGAGAGAUGGGCGGGGCAUGCGUCGGGAGGCGGUGCUUAGCCUUCCCGGCACGCCCCCGAAGCGAUCAGGCAGCCCCACCCCCGCUCCAGGCUGGCGACCGGUGAAGCUCAGCGCUUUGUACCAUGGGCUGUUCCGGGGGGCCGAGCUUGGCCGCUCGGACAACGCCUCUGGGGCCAGGCCCACCCACAGGCCGGCUGAGUGCGAACGACCGUGCUUUGUCCCACUGUGAUAGGAGCUCAUGAAAGGUGGAGAGGCGUGAGUCGGGGAACUAAGAAGAAACACCUCCUCGAGGUCUGACCUCCGCCCCUCGGCUGGCGUGCUGCGCACUUCCCCAGUACUCUAGGGGGUGAGGCGUUCUUCAGAAGGAGGCGCUCAGCUACUUUAUACACCCGGAGGAGGGCUGGCUCCGCCCCCAGAAGGGACGGUUAUUAGCAAUCUGCAGACGGUGCUCUGCAUCUUUUUGUCAAGGGACGGUGCUCUGAUCCACGAACCCUCGGAGAGGUCGGGCCUCUUCUGGCCAGUGUCCCGCAAACAACCUCUCCUGAGCCUAAAAGAAAGACAAGAACCACUUCCAAACGUAGGGGGCUCGGCCACGCCCUCAAGUUAAGGUUCCCUCCCGUACGUUCCCAGGCCGAGGUCCUGCUGUUAAUGGGUGUUUGUCUACCAUGGAAGUCCAAGAAUCCAGCAGUUGGUCAUUUAGUUUGAAAGGCUGGAUGUCUCAGCUGAAAUCGUGAAGAAGUAGGUUCUAAUGCCAAUGAAGGAUUGGAGCUGUUAGAGCACCAGGUAAAGAGCUAACACGUCCUCCCAUGUCCUUUUAGAUCAGUGCCAGCAGAAGAUGGGACCCAGAUUAAAGGGGGAGCUUCCCAUCUCAAACCAUUUAUUAAAGAAAUCCCUCACAA
Long non-coding RNA from Mastomys coucha (southern multimammate mouse), 1005 nucleotides. RefSeq lists it as uncharacterized. NCBI's taxonomy places the organism in Eukaryota, Metazoa, Chordata, Mammalia, Rodentia, Muridae. The transcript is spliced from 2 exons. The record is from RefSeq and is a predicted model, not a curated record.